This 296-nucleotide ribosomal RNA is filed under the name uncultured bacterium. Its description in RNAcentral is "partial 16S ribosomal RNA". It matches the Rfam family "Bacterial small subunit ribosomal RNA", at positions 9 to 297 of the family's 1533-position model. The record is from RNAcentral.
GAGUUUGAUCGUGGCUCAGGAUGAACGCUAGCGGCAGGCCUAACACAUGCAAGUCGAGGGGCAGCGGGAUUGAAGCUUGCUUCAGUUGCCGGCGACCGGCGCACGGGUGCGUAACGCGUAUGCAACCUACCCAUAACAGGGGGAUAACACUGAGAAAUCGGUACUAAUAUCCCAUAACAUCAUGAGGGGCAUCCUUCGUGGUUGAAAACUCCGGUGGUUAUGGAUGGGCAUGCGUUGUAUUAGCUGGUUGGUGAGGUAACGGCUCACCAAGGCGACGAUACAUAGGGGGACUGAGA